UCACGUCGUCGGGCGGCCGCGUCGGGAGCAAUCCCGCCGAGGAAAGUCCGGGCUCCACGGAACGCGGUGCCGGGUAACACCCGGCGGCAUUGGCUUUGGCCAGUGUCAGGGACAGUGCCACAGAGAAGAGACCGCCGAUGGUCCCGGAUCAUAUCCGGGAGACAGGCAAGGGUGAAACGGUGCGGCAAGAGCGCACCGCGCGAUGGGCAACCAAAGCGGCACGGCAAACCCCACCGGGAGCAAGACCGAAUAGGGAUGGCGCGCAGGGCUUUGGCGCUGCAGGGCAGGAACCGGCCCAGCCAUCCGGGUUGGUUGCUGGAGGCGGCGGGCAACCGCCGUCCGAGAGGAAUGGUCGCCCAGGGGGCAUGAGCCCCUGGACAGAACCCGGCUUACAGACGGCGUGAUCGC
Molecule: RNase P RNA, 408 nt
Filed under: Sandarakinorhabdus cyanobacteriorum
Lineage: Bacteria; Pseudomonadati; Pseudomonadota; Alphaproteobacteria; Sphingomonadales; Sphingosinicellaceae
Description: Bacterial RNase P class A
Rfam family: Bacterial RNase P class A
About the family: Ribonuclease P (RNase P) is a ubiquitous endoribonuclease, found in archaea, bacteria and eukarya as well as chloroplasts and mitochondria.
Source: Rfam by way of RNAcentral